This 306-nucleotide unclassified non-coding RNA is filed under the name fungal sp. RNAcentral describes it as "partial internal transcribed spacer region". The stretch from base 1 to 46 matches the Rfam family "Eukaryotic small subunit ribosomal RNA", at positions 1786 to 1831 of the family's 1831-position model. Lineage: Eukaryota; Fungi. The record is from RNAcentral.
AAGUCGUAACAAGGUUUCCGUAGGUGAACCUGCGGAAGGAUCAUUAACACUUUUUUCGUUCCCUUGUUUUUCUUUGUAAAAAAAGAAAAUAAGGAACAAAAAUCAUCCAAAUACCCAAAUUGAAGUGCUGGUGGAGGAGCUUUUCCCCGUUUUCAUAGCGGGAAAAAGGUCCUCCCAUCCAUUUUUCUCUUUUCUCUUUCAAUUACAAAAACCCCAAUCUAAUUGCUAAUGCUAUGACAAAACACAAAAACAAAAAACUACUUUAACGUAACCAAACAACUCUUAGCAACGGAUAUCUUGGCUCUC